Molecule: ribosomal RNA, 500 nt
Filed under: uncultured bacterium
Lineage: Bacteria
Description: partial 16S ribosomal RNA
Rfam family: Bacterial small subunit ribosomal RNA
Source: RNAcentral
AUUGAACGCUGGCGGAAUGCUUUACACAUGCAAGUCGAACGGCAGCACGGACUUCGGUCUGGUGGCGAGUGGCGAACGGGUGAGUAAUGUAUCGGAACGUGCCCAGUCGUGGGGGAUAACGUAGUGAAAAUUACGCUAAUACCGCAUACGAUCUAUGGAUGAAAGCGGGGGAUCGCAAGACCUCGCGCGAUUGGGGCGGCCGAUAUCAGAUUAGGUAGUUGGUGGGGUAAAGGCCCACCAAGCCAACGAUCUGUAGCUGGUCUGAGAGGACGACAAGCCACACUGGAACGGGGACACGGUCCAGACUCCGACGGGAGGCAGCAGUGGGGAAUUUUGGACAAUGGGCGAAAGCCUGAUCCAGCCAUUCCGCGUGCAGGAUGAAGGCCCUCGGGUUGUAAACUGCUUUUGUACAGAACGAAAAGGUUUCUACUAAUACUAGGAGCUCAUGACGGUACUGUAAGAAUAAGCACCGGCUAACUACGUGCCAGCCGCCGCCGUAA